UUAAAUUGAAGAGUUUGAUCAUGGCUCAGAUUGAACGCUGGCGGCAGGCCUAACACAUGCAAGUCGAACGGUAACAGGAAUCAGCUUGCUGAUUUGCUGA
This 100-nucleotide ribosomal RNA is filed under the name Escherichia coli. RNAcentral describes it as "partial 16S ribosomal RNA". It matches the Rfam family "Bacterial small subunit ribosomal RNA", at positions 1 to 94 of the family's 1533-position model. The record is from RNAcentral. Lineage: Bacteria; Pseudomonadati; Pseudomonadota; Gammaproteobacteria; Enterobacterales; Enterobacteriaceae.